GGCCUGAUAGCUCAGUUGGUAGAGCAGUUGACUCUUAAUCAAUUGGUCCGGGGUUCGAGCCCCCGUCGGGCCACCA
This 76-nucleotide transfer RNA is filed under the name Puniceicoccales bacterium. RNAcentral's name for it is "tRNA-Lys". It matches the Rfam family "tRNA". From Rfam's summary of the family: Transfer RNA (tRNA) molecules are approximately 80 nucleotides in length. Their secondary structure includes four short double-helical elements and three loops (D, anti-codon, and T loops). The record is from RNAcentral. Lineage: Bacteria; Pseudomonadati; Verrucomicrobiota; Opitutia; Puniceicoccales.